Molecule: ribosomal RNA, 492 nt
Filed under: uncultured archaeon
Lineage: Archaea
Description: bacterial SSU rRNA
Rfam family: Archaeal small subunit ribosomal RNA
Source: RNAcentral
ACGGGGUGCAGCAGGCGCGAAAUCUUCACAAUGUGCGAAAGCACGAUGAGGGAAUCCCAAGUGCUAGCACGUAAGUGUUAGCUGUUUCUUAGUCUAAAAAACUCAGAGAGUAAGGGCUGGGUAAGACGGGUGCCAGCCGCCGCGGUAAUACCCGCAGCUCAAGUGGUGGCCGCUAUUAUUGGGCCUAAAACGUCCGUAGCCUGUUUAGUAAAUGCUUGGGUAAAUUGUGUAGCUUAACUAUACGAAUACCGGGUAGACUGCUAAACUUGGGACCGGGAGAGGCUAGAGGUACUCCUAGGGUAGAGGUGAAAUUCUGUAAUCCUAGGGGGACCACCAGUGGCGAAGGCGUCUAGCUAGAACGGGUCUGACGGUGAGGGACGAAGCCCUGGGGCGCGAACCGGAUUAGAUACCCGGGUAGUCCAGGGUGUAAACGCUGCUUGCUUGAUGUUAGUUGGGCUCCGAGCCCAACUAGUGUCGGAGAGAAGUUGUUAA